UUUUUUUUCUUCUUCCUGAAGCUGGGCCUCUGCUAGCUGCUUAUUAAGUAUUACCAAACAGUUAUUACAGCAAAGUUAACACUUUGAUUUAGCACCUGACAAAACGAAGCCUAUUUGCUCCCAUUUCUUCAAGCUCCUCUAGGAGUUUGAGGAAUUUUGCAAAGAUGAGGGAACCCAUCUGCAAGACCAAAGAGUAAAAGCAUUCAAGGUCACUUAGUUGGCACUCUGCCAGGGGCUGGAGAUAUACAGAUUAAAAAUAUAGUCCCUGUCCUCAAGGAGUUUACUGAAGAAAUGAGCAAAGACAAAAUGACUUCAGGGAAUGAAGAGGUUACCCCACCCAACAUCCUGGGGAAAGGAAGGUGUGAACGUGAGUGUGCUGGUGCGGGGGUUGGUGUCAUUGAAGAGGAGACUGGUCUUGGCUGCCAUGAAGGCCCCAGACUCAACUGACCAGAAGUUCAGUCAGCACUGAUGGGGCUCAUCAUUGAAGAGGAGACUGGUCUUGGCCACUGUGAAGUCCCCAGACUCAACUGACCAGAAGUUCAGCCAGCACUGAUGGGGGCUCAUCAUUGAAGAGGAGACUGGUCUUGGCUGCCCUGAAGACCCCACGCUCAACUCACCAGAAGUUCAGCCAGCACUGAUGGGGGCUCAUCAUUGAAGAGGAGACUGAUCUUGGCCGCUGUGAAGUCCCCAGACUCAACUGACCAGAAGUUCAGCCAGCACUGAUGGGGGCUCAUCAUUGAAGAGGAGACUGGUCUUGGCUGCCCUGAAGACCCCACGCUCAACUGACCAGAAGUUCAGCCAACACUGAUGGGGGCUCAUGGGCCAGCGGUUUGAAUAAGUGCUGAUCAAAAGGUGGGCUUCAGCCUGAGGCCAGCUUCCAGGGACCCAAGCUCCAGGGAACCCAGGCUCCAUUGGUUUUCUCCAUCCAGUCCUUGGAAUUAGUGGUACCGUUUGAUGACAAUCUCAUUGAUUUCGAGCUAGAUGAGAUGUCAGAAGUCAUUUUGUCCAAACUAUAUAUUUUCCAGUUGAGGAAACCAAGGCCAGGGACAGUUACUUGUCCAAGCACACAUUUAUGUAGCACUUUCCCAGCAACAAAGUAUUUUAUAUUUGAGCCUCUAAACAACCCAGUGAAGGACAAUUAUGAUGGUAGCCAUCUUAUAGGAAGAGAAACAGAGAAUUUAAGUGACUUGCCUAAGGUCGCACAUUUGUUUGAAGUAGGAUUUGAACUCAGGCCUUCCUGAUUCCCAACUGAAUGCUCUCUCACAGAUCCCAGCUAUCCCCUUGAUGGGCCACCCAUCUCCUUAGGCUAUUAGGCCCAAUCUUCUCCUGGUAGUGGGUAAAUAUGUGUUUGGCAGGGAGAAUUUUCCUUGUUUCAAGAAAUAACAAGGCCUGUAAUUGUUGUUAUUAUUGCUGGUAUCAUUAAUUCUUACAUGAGCUCCCUCUUCCAAAUCAGUUUUCAAGAGAAUGAGCAUUAUUUUUCUCCGACAUUGUCUGUAAACAUUUGGGUACACAACGUUUGUUAUAAAAUGUGAACCGUCUCCCCCACAUGCAAUAGAUCUGGCUCCAUUAAAAGCUUUUCUAGCUC
Molecule: long non-coding RNA, 1585 nt
Organism: Monodelphis domestica (gray short-tailed opossum)
Lineage: Eukaryota; Metazoa; Chordata; Mammalia; Didelphimorphia; Didelphidae
Source: RefSeq, a predicted model, not a curated record